Molecule: ribosomal RNA, 497 nt
Filed under: uncultured bacterium
Lineage: Bacteria
Description: bacterial SSU rRNA
Rfam family: Bacterial small subunit ribosomal RNA
Source: RNAcentral
AACUAACGCUGGCGGCGCGUCUUAAACAUGCAAGUGGAACGGUAAGGCCUCAGCUUGCUGAGGUACACGAGUCGCAAACGGGUGAGUAACACGUGGGUCAUCUGCCUUGAAGUGGGGGAUAGCUUCGGGAAACCGAAAUUAAUACCGCAUGUGACGGCAACGUUAAAGGGGGCUUCGGCUCCCGCUUCAAGAUGAGCCCGCGCACCAUUAGCUUGUUGGUGGGGUAAGAGCCUACCAAGGCAACGAUGGUUAGCCGGCCUGAGAGGGUGAUCGGCCACAUUGGGACUGAGACACGGCCCAGACUCCUACGGGAGGCAGCAGUUAAGAAUCUUGGACAAUGGGGGCAACCCUGAUCCAGCGACGCCGCGUGAGCGAUGAAGGCCUUUGGGUUGUAAAGCUCAGUAAGUAGGGAAGAAUGUACAGAUGUUAAUACCAUCUGAGAUGACGGUACCUACCUAAAGCACCGGCUAAAUACGUGCCAGCCGCCGCCGUAACAC